AAGGAGUUAGCCAAGAACAGGAACUCCAUCCAAGGCCUACGCUGGAGAGCUGCCGAACGGAGACACUUUUCGCAAGACAGUUGGAAGUCUUGGCAGCCCUGAAGAAGCAAUGAUCUUUCAGCAAGACAACAGAGAGGAGGCUUGAUGAGGUUGACUGACACAAGGGUGUGUUCAAAGGAGGAGAUCAGAUCCUCUUUCUGAACACUCCAGCUACAGUCCUUCUCCUCCUGUCUGCUCAUCAAAGCCAAACAAGCCUUGGAGAGAGAGAGAAGGAUUCAAAGAGAAUACUUGUUCCAGAGGAUUCAGAGGAAGAAUUUGAGCAAAAAAGAAGUUGCCCAACACUACAAACUUCAUAUACUUUUUGGAGGACAGAAGGGGAGGAGAAAGGUUGAAUCAAGCUGCUUUAGUCACUCUGUCCUUGUCAAAUGAGCCAGAAUAUCA
Oncorhynchus tshawytscha (Chinook salmon) is the source of this 441-nucleotide long non-coding RNA. The record is from Ensembl. Lineage: Eukaryota; Metazoa; Chordata; Actinopteri; Salmoniformes; Salmonidae.